Molecule: long non-coding RNA, 615 nt
Filed under: Phasianus colchicus (ring-necked pheasant)
Lineage: Eukaryota; Metazoa; Chordata; Aves; Galliformes; Phasianidae
Description: lncRNA (ENSPCLG00000020568.1)
Source: RNAcentral
AGUGAGUGUAGACUAUCCGGAUGAAACCCUAGGAAUGGUGGUGACCAAAGAGCUGGAAAACUGGGCUCAUGAUUGCAUGCUGUAGACUCUUAAGGAAGGAGGAUGACUGUGAUGGUAGCAGAGCCACAUAUUUCAUCUGUUGCAUCCUUCUAGGACAAAGAUAUUCCACCAGUGUUCCUGGCUCCAGCCUCAUGCGCAGUGACUGUAGUUUUCUAUACACUAAAUACAAGCCAUGAUGCCUAUUCAAUGAGUUGAAUCUGGCCCAGAACGAUCAACACUGGAUUUGAGCCAGGAGGCACCAGCUCUAAUUUUACCCUUACAGAAAACCCCAUUCUACUUCUGAGCAAAUCAAAGGCAAUUUGCCUCCACAGGAUGCAACCCUUAUCUUCUCCAGACAGGCUCUGCAGAUGCUUAAUUACAUCAAAUUUCAGCUUCUGCUCUUAACUCUCUAGUCCAGUGAUCCUGAGCUGAGCCUAAAUGAAUUGCGAGCCUUUUGCCCCAGGUGAUGCUAAAUCUUACCCAUGUUUUACAGGACUACAAGAACCAAACAGAAGUUACUGAUUUUUGCAAGCCAGCUUGAGCCCUAGCCCUAUCUGUAAUCUUGAUAUCCUUUAC